RNAcentral lists this transfer RNA (75 nucleotides) under Planctomycetota bacterium. RNAcentral's name for it is "Planctomycetes bacterium tRNA-Pro". It matches the Rfam family "tRNA". From Rfam's summary of the family: Transfer RNA (tRNA) molecules are approximately 80 nucleotides in length. Their secondary structure includes four short double-helical elements and three loops (D, anti-codon, and T loops). The record is from RNAcentral. Lineage: Bacteria; Pseudomonadati; Planctomycetota.
CGGGGCGUAGCUCAGCUUGGCUAGAGUGUUGCACUGGGGGUGCAAAGGUCGCAGGUUCAAAUCCUGUCGCCCCGA